RNAcentral lists this ribosomal RNA (265 nucleotides) under uncultured bacterium. RNAcentral describes it as "partial 16S ribosomal RNA". The record is from RNAcentral.
CUGCUGCCUCCCGUAGGAGUUUGGGCCGUGUCUCAGUCCCAAUGUGGCCGUCCACCCUCUCAGGCCGGCUACUGAUCGUCGCCUUGGUGGGCCGUUACCCCGCCAACAAGCUAAUCAGCCGCGGGUCCAUCUUACACCACCGGAGUUUUUCACACAAAUCCAUGCGGCUUCGUGCGCUUAUGCGGUAUUAGCACCUAUUUCUAAGUGUUAUCCCCCAGUGUAAGGCAGGUUACCCACGCGUUACUCACCCGUCCGCCACUAAGUA